Molecule: unclassified non-coding RNA, 1764 nt
Filed under: Hevea brasiliensis (rubber tree)
Lineage: Eukaryota; Viridiplantae; Streptophyta; Magnoliopsida; Malpighiales; Euphorbiaceae
Source: RNAcentral
AUUUUUUUCCCUGGACGAGACUAAAAAUUCUAUGAACUUUGCGCGUAACAGGGGAAGGUUGGUGGGAACGCUCUUACCCAACCCCACCUUUUUCUGAGAUGGCUGUCAUAUUUAGCUCCAUCAUCCCUCGUUUCUAGCCACACCACAGCUCUUGUAUCAUCACAGCAAACCUUACAGGCCUUGUAAACACCACACCAACUUUUCUCUUCAUCAUCUUCUUCUUCUCUUGAAUAUAACCUCACCGGAAAAACAAGAAUUCGGUAGCUACAUCAAUCUCAACCUCCCUUCAUCUGAUAUAUAUCAAGUAUCUAGAGGGAAAACUCAAUUGCUUGAUGUAGAAAAAUUUCUAUUUCAUGAUUCUUGCAUAGAAAACAGAUCGAAAUAUAGACAAUGGCAUUUCAGAGAGAUGGUGAUCUUAACCUUGAGGCUACAGAGCUCAGGUUAGGCCCUCCGGGCACCACCGAAGAGCCGGAAAAGCAAACCCAUCCUACCACUACUGCUAAGUGCAACAAAAGAUCUUUGCCUGACAUGAACGAGGAAUCAGCAGGCUCAAGGACGAACAACUCUAAUGUCUCCAAUGAGAAAAAGCACGACCGAACUUCUCCUCCCACCAAGGCACAAGUGGUAGGGUGGCCACCAAUCAGAUCUUACCGGAAAAACUGUCUUCAAGUAAAAAAAAUCGAGGCUGAGGCUGCCGGAAGUGGAAUUUACGUUAAAGUUAGCAUGGAUGGUGCUCCUUAUCUUAGAAAGAUCGACUUGAAGGUCUAUAAGGAUUAUCCUGAGCUCCUUAAGGCCUUAGAAGACAUGUUCAAGUUCAAAGUCGGUGAGUAUUCUGAGAGGGAAGGGUAUAAUGGGUCAGAAUUUGCACCUACAUACGAAGACAAAGAUGGUGAUUGGAUGUUGGUUGGAGAUGUUCCAUGGGAUAUGUUCAUGAAUUCCUGCAAGAGGCUGAGAAUUAUGAAAGGCUCAGAAGCUAGAGGCUUGGGUUGUGCUGUGUAAAUUAUAAGCUCCUACCAGAAAUAUAAAUAUGAGAAGAAGAAGAAGAUCGAUAAGACCAUGCAUAUGCAUCUUCAUGAACAAGAAAUACAUCCUUUUUGCCGGGGCUUCCACGAAGAAAAACCUGGAUCUGUUUUUCCCAGAAAAAAAAAAAAGCAAAAAAAUAAAAAUCACUUGCUUUGUUUCACGAAUAGGACAUUGUAGAAUAUUCCAUGCUUAUUGAUCAAAAUUUUAGUUUUUGGAGUAGUCAGCUGCCUGUCUUCCUUUUACGUUGAGUGUUUAGGCUACACAUAUCUUUUCAUUUUUAUCACUUAUAUUGAGGACACUGGAUAAGUGCUUUAGGAGAAACCAUAAUUUUUCGUGUCACCUGUGCAUAUGUUUCCUUGGGGCUUCAGAGACUGAAAAUUUUGAAGGCAUUUUUAUGUCACUGAUGGUAGGUAGUACAUAAAGCUUUCAUUUCCAUGUAUAAAAAUAGCAGAUGACUUGAGAACUACUUCUCUUAAACUAUUUGCCUUAAGUAGCUUUGUCAAAUAUUCUAACUUUUAAUAAUAAUUUAAUUAUUGUGAAAAAUUUCUGAGGGACUUUUCAUCUGAUUGGCUGAUCCUUCAUUUAUAAAUCUGUCAAACUGUGUAAAUAAUUUCGGCUUUUCCCUUUUGAGGUACCUUGUUACUUGUCCAAAUUGAGUCAUGACUUUACUUUGUAAUAAUUCAGGGUUAGUUGGAUUUUGGAAGGGUGUUAUUUCUUUUUUAUGGUUAGUUUCCAUCUCCA